Trichomycterus rosablanca is the source of this 262-nucleotide non-coding RNA. The record is from RefSeq and is a predicted model, not a curated record. Lineage: Eukaryota; Metazoa; Chordata; Actinopteri; Siluriformes; Trichomycteridae.
UGUUUGUCGAUCCUGUCCUGAUAUUUAUGGACUGUGAUGAGACAGAACUGCAGAUAUAAUGAAGAAGAAGAAAAGGCGGGUUCUCCGGAGGGUUGGAGAGCGUCCGUGCGAUAUUCUUCUAACAUCACGAACCCUGUUUGUUCACGGAGGUACCAGCUCACCUGUACUGCUACCUAUCCAAAACAGGAAGAGGAAGUGGACGCAGCAAGAUAUUAUCUGUGAGGACGAGCUCUCCUUACAGAUACUUCACACUGCCACACUU